CUUAUGGGCUGUUUAGUAUAAUGAAAUGACUGUUUUGAUAUUUGAAAUAAAUAAAUAUUAUUGCCAAAGGAUGAAUGUUACGAAAAAGCAUAUCUUGAAUACCGUAAAAUUUCAUCAAAAUCCUGAUUUGGCUUAUUUUCUAGUCAACUGUAUCUCUAGCCCAACUAAGAGAUAUUAUGAAUAAAGAUAGAUAUAAGUAUCCAACUAAA
RNAcentral lists this long non-coding RNA (209 nucleotides) under Musa acuminata (dwarf banana). RNAcentral describes it as "long non-coding RNA (MACU_LNC009983)". Lineage: Eukaryota; Viridiplantae; Streptophyta; Magnoliopsida; Zingiberales; Musaceae. The record is from RNAcentral.